Onychostoma macrolepis is the source of this 408-nucleotide long non-coding RNA. RefSeq lists it as uncharacterized. The record is from RefSeq and is a predicted model, not a curated record. Lineage: Eukaryota; Metazoa; Chordata; Actinopteri; Cypriniformes; Cyprinidae. The transcript is spliced from 6 exons.
CGUUACGUUUCGCUGUAUAAAAGCACGCGUCACACCCUCCUCUUCCUCCUUCAUCCCGCUUCCUCAGAGAAUGGAGAUGUUUGUCGGAAUGAAUAUCGGAUCACCACGUGGUUCCGCCGCAGUUUCUACUGCAGAGGUCGGAUGAUGCAAAUGAAACUGAAUCAAGAUGCUCCUUGAGAUGGUCCGAGUGAGCCUUCUCUGAGAGAUGUUGCAGCGCCGUCCGUGAGAAGAUGUCUGGCACGUGGGUCCAUGUGGCCUGUAGGACCGGUGGAGCUAGUGCAGGUCUGCUACAGCUCCUGAACAGCAAGUGGAAGUCAAGCCUAAUAUUAACGGCUUGUGGAUUUGUGUUGCAUUGUUUCUUUGGAUUCAUAAAAUAAAGAUGCUUGUUAACCACAUCCUACCAGAGUU